This 71-nucleotide transfer RNA is filed under the name Bos taurus (domestic cattle). It matches the Rfam family "tRNA". From Rfam's summary of the family: Transfer RNA (tRNA) molecules are approximately 80 nucleotides in length. Their secondary structure includes four short double-helical elements and three loops (D, anti-codon, and T loops). Lineage: Eukaryota; Metazoa; Chordata; Mammalia; Artiodactyla; Bovidae. RNAcentral also lists the same sequence under 2 other names. The record is from Rfam by way of RNAcentral.
CCCUCCAUGGCUCAGACAGUGAAGCGUCUGCCUCCAAUGCAGGAGACCUGGGUUCAAUCCCUGGGGUGGGA